AACGAACGCUGGCGGCAUGCCUAACACAUGCAAGUCGAACGAGACCUUCGGGUCUAGUGGCGCACGGGUGCGUAACGCGUGGGAACCUGCCCUUAGGUUCGGAAUAACUCCCCGAAAGGGGUGCUAAUACCGGAUAAUGUCUUCGGACCAAAGAUUUAUCGCCUUUGGAUGGGCCCGCGUUGGAUUAGCUAGUUGGUAGGGUAAAAGCCUACCAAGGCGACGAUCCAUAGCUGGUCUGAGAGGAUGAUCAGCCACACUGGGACUGAGACACGGCCCAGAAUCCUACGGGAGGCAGCAGUGGGGAAUAUUGGACAAUGGGCGAAAGCCUGAUCCAGCAAUGCCGCGUGAGUGAUGAAGGCCUUAGGGUUGUAAAGCUCUUUUAACCGGGAUGAUAAUGACAGUACCGGGAGAAUAAGCUCCGGCUAACUCCGUG
This 433-nucleotide ribosomal RNA is filed under the name uncultured bacterium. RNAcentral's name for it is "partial 16S ribosomal RNA". It matches the Rfam family "Bacterial small subunit ribosomal RNA", at positions 29 to 507 of the family's 1533-position model. The record is from RNAcentral.